Molecule: long non-coding RNA, 3477 nt
Organism: Otolemur garnettii (small-eared galago)
Lineage: Eukaryota; Metazoa; Chordata; Mammalia; Primates; Galagidae
Exons: 4
Source: RefSeq, a predicted model, not a curated record
UGAGACACCUGGCCAGACUGGGGGGCUGAGGUGUGCACAGAGGAAAUCUCUAGAGCAGAGAGGCCUGGAUUUGAAGGGGCUGCAGCAAGGACUGAAGAGUGUUCCCGUGGGGAGCAGUGUGAGUGAAGGCCCCAGCCCGGGCUCCCCAGGGGUUGCUGAGGCCACUCAGAAGCCAGAGGAGAACUGGUGUCCAGUGUGUAUGACUCAGUCUCCAGCUGAGUACAGUGAUGUUGUGGGCCGUCACAAUCAUGCACCACUCACGCACGACUGCCCCAGGGCAGCGUCCUUCUCGUCCUUCCAGCUCCAUGCAGGACCUCAGCCGCAGUCCCGACCAGGAAAAAAUCUUCCUCUGCACUCAGCCACAGUCCCGACCAGGAAAAAUCUUCAAUCAUGUUUGAUAAAACAAUACAAAAGUCCAGGCGGACGCGGGGGGCUGGAGAAACCCCACCCUUUUCCACAGCGCUUUUCACUUUCUUCUUUGUUGGCCCGUCUGAGGGUCACUGAUGGGGAAAUCAUUCCUUUUUUUCCUUCAUUCUUUUAAUUGGCAACCUGCCCCGAGCUGCCCUCUCCACCAGGUACCCAAAAGGUGGGGGAGAGGAGUGACCAGAAGAGGCGUCAGAACCUGAGGGCUGCAUAAAAACUGUCACACAGAUGUCAGGGAAGCGCGAGUGUUGUAAAGAGCCAGCUCUCUGCUGCGUUGGGAAGCAUCAUUACUUUGCUGCUCCUGAUGCUGGGGAGGCGUUUGAGAACCACAGUGGAGUCUCACAUUGGCGUCGUUAAGCAGCAGUGUGAUCGAGUAGAAAAAGCUCAGCCCCGGGACUCUGACGGGUCUGAGUCUGUGCCGGGUCCUGUGGUCGGGGUGGCUGACCUGAGGCAGUCUCAGUCUUAUCCUCUGUUAAAUGGGGAUGAUCUCAGCAGCAGCCUGAGCGACUGUCAGGACCAGAGAUGAUGUCUGGGAACUGCCCCCUGGUGGCCGGCACCCAGCACAGCGUUCCUGUUUGUUUCAUUGUUUAAUUAGAGUUAGAUCUGCCUUGAGUCACAAGCAUGAAAUUUGACUGACUCAAUAGAAGAUACGCAUGGAGAGCUGAUGGUCCACAGUCUGUCCCCUGUACAAAGUAAGAGUGGUUCUGAUCUGCCAGAGCCUGGACACUUUUGUCAAUAAGCAUUUUGUAUGAGGCAGCAGCUGAGAGGCUGGGCUCUGGCCCUCAUGCCUUCCCUUCGUGGCCUUUGGACCUUGAAGAGGUCACUUCCUGUCCUUCACAGAGGUCGGGCCCUGAACUCUCCGAGGAGACCAAGGCUUGGCACAGCUCACAGGAGACCUGCAGUGAGAGGCCUGUGGAAUCUGGAAGGAGCUGUCAAGGGGGAAGGAUUAUAGGGAUGUGGGGUGCGAUGCUCCCGGCCGUGCACAGGUGCCCUGAAACUUCCCUGAAACAAAGCCGGCGCACACCGGAGCUCCGAGUUUGCAGUUCUCCCUUAACACUAGGGUUCUCCGACGGAAAGUAGCUUUAGUUACGAUCCCAGCUCCUGUCAGUUUGCUCGGCUCUCAUGUGUGGUGGAAGCACUGAGACCCCCGCAGCCGGCAGCAGCGUGGGCAGUGCAGAGAGCCAGGCCUCGUGUGUGGGUUUCCUCCCGAGCACGAGUCUUUGGCUAUCGUGGCCAGAAUCCACCCAGAAUUCAGUGGUUCAAAGCUCUUAAAACUAAUCACACAGCAUCACCAGAUGGACCUGCCACAAAGGGGACCUGAUCCUGCCCAGAAGUGCCCCAGGCACACACUCCACCUCCCUGCUCUGUCCUCACACAGGGGUAGUCACCUGCCACACUGCAACUGAUGCUUGGCUACCGUGUACUGGCUGGAGGCCUCCUGCAGAGGUACCGGGGCUCCCGUUGAGGACUUUUACCCUGUGCAAACCAAGGGCUUUUGUGGAGCCCCUUCCAUCUCCCCAUUCUGUGGCUACAGCAUUCCAGACUGCACCACUAAGGGUCAGCCAGGGGUCGUCCUUCCAGUGAUUGAACAUGCACAUGCCUAACCCCCCGCCACGGGCCUCCUAGCAAGAGUCACAAGGCCACAGGGUACAUACAGGGCAGAAUGAAAGGUCUGCCAUUGCCCCUGGAGCCCCUGGGCACAGUUAAGCCACACUGGGAUGCAGUGGUCCAGGCAGAAAGAGAAGGGGUGUGGUGGGGUACCCAGGGGAGGCACCAAAGGACAGCCAUCUGUGGUGGGAGCUGUGUCACCCCAAAGACGUGCCAAAGCCCUGGCCCCUGGGAAUGGGCCCUUAUCUGGAAGAGGGCCUUUGUACUGUCAUCAGUUCAGAUGAGGUGUGUGGAUGGGGUGGGCCCAGUCCAGUGCCUGAGGUCCUUACUAGAAGUGAAAGCAGAGACGCAGGGAGCACACUGUGAGAGGGAGAGGCGGGAUCCAUGUGGUGGGCCUGUAGAUCAAGGGAGCUCGGACACAGGCUCUGAACAAAUUCGCCCUCAGAGCUGUGGGAAGAAACCAGCGCUCUCAACACCUUGAUCUUGAGCUUUUGGCCUCCAGGACUGUGAGAGAACCAAUGUUUGUGGCUGGUGCUCUGGUGCUGCAGUUUGUGGUGGUCACAGCUGCCCAGGGACACUGUGGAGCUCUUCCCCAUUGACUGCCCCCAGAGUCCUGGCACCCCUUCACCUUCAAGGGCAGAGCUGUCGAUGUGGACCGUGGUCCACCACAGCCCACGAGCACGCUGGUACUGGUGAGUGAGCCUGCCCUUUGGUAGCUCCAGCCCUUCUGGUCUGAUGCUCCAGGAGAGUGGUACGCUGGACAGAGGAAGCCCAUCCACUCAGUUCUUCCUUCACCCAAUCCUACCCCAACACUGACUCCAGCCCCAGCUCCUCACCUGGGGCCCUUGCUCCGCACCUGGUUCCCAGAGCUCCCGGCACUCUCCUUUGUCCUUGCCAUGGACCUAUAGCAGAUGAGGCUUCUCUCCCAAUCUCCUGCCUCUCUGCCUCAAAUGCCAGCAAGCUGGGUUGUCUUGGAGCACACAGCAGUUUGCAUCCCAACACAGCCAGGGCUCCGCUUCCUCCCUGCACAGGGCCCCAGGGCACCGACAAGCUCCUGGGUGCUCACUGUCUCUCCAGGGUCACUCACGCGGCCUCAGCUUCCAUUUCCUGUCCAUCAGAUGAAGGCAUCAGUGGGGAAUUGGGUGGGGAAAUGAUAAAGUGUGAAACUGUGGGGACAGGUGCCACAAAAGGGAAGCGAUUCCAGAUGUUGGAUCACUCAGGAUACAUUUCUCAGAUAUUCCUUUUGUACACAGUAGCCCCAGAGGCAGAAUAAAAGGUCUGCCAUUGACCCUGGAGCCCCCUGGACACAGAGCCACACUGGAAGGCAGUGGUCCAGGCGGAAAGAGAAGGGGUAUGGCUGGGUACCCAGGGAAGACACCAAAGCCAGGCUCCUUCAUUCAUUAUGAGUGGGAGAAUCCAGUGGACAGAGCACUGCCCGGGAGCCAG